GACGAACGCUGGCGGCGUGCCUAAUACAUGCAAGUAGAACGCUGAAGGAGGAGCUUGCUUCUCUGGAUGAGUUGCGAACGGGUGAGUAACGCGUAGGUAACCUGCCUGGUAGCGGGGGAUAACUAUUGGAAACGAUAGCUAAUACCGCAUAAUAGUAGAUGUCGCAUGACAUUUGCUUAAAAGGUGCAAUUGCAUCACUACCAGAUGGACCUGCGUUGUAUUAGCUAGUUGGUGAGGUAACGGCUCACCAAGGCAACGAUACAUAGCCGACCUGAGAGGGUGAUAGGCCACACUGGGACUGAGACACGGCCCAGACUCCUACGGGAGGCAGCAGUAGGGAAUCUUCGGCAAUGGACGGAAGUCUGACCGAGCAACGCCGCGUGAGUGAAGAAGGUUUUCGGAUCGUAAAGCUCUGUUGUAAGAGAAGAACGAGUGUGAGAGUGGAAAGUUCACACUGUGACGGUAUCUUACCAGAAAGGGACGGCUAACUACGUG
RNAcentral lists this ribosomal RNA (495 nucleotides) under uncultured bacterium. RNAcentral describes it as "partial 16S ribosomal RNA". It matches the Rfam family "Bacterial small subunit ribosomal RNA", at positions 28 to 507 of the family's 1533-position model. The record is from RNAcentral.